This 268-nucleotide ribosomal RNA is filed under the name uncultured bacterium. RNAcentral describes it as "partial 16S ribosomal RNA". It matches the Rfam family "Bacterial small subunit ribosomal RNA", at positions 526 to 779 of the family's 1533-position model. The record is from RNAcentral.
CGGAGGGUGCGAGCGUUGUCCGGAAUCACUGGGCGUAAAGGGCGCGUAGGUGGCCGAGCAAGGUCGCGGUGAAAGCUUGGGGCUCAACCCCAAGUCGGCCGUGGCAACUACUUGGCUUGAGCACUGUAGGGGCGGUGGAAUUCCGGGUGUAGCGGUGGAAUGCGUAGAGAUCCGGAAGAACACCGGUGGCGAAGGCGGCCCGCUGGGCAGGAAGGCUCGCAAGAGCCGGCUGACACUGAGGCGCGACAGCGUGGGAGCAAACAGGAUU